Molecule: long non-coding RNA, 2616 nt
Organism: Zalophus californianus (California sea lion)
Lineage: Eukaryota; Metazoa; Chordata; Mammalia; Carnivora; Otariidae
Exons: 4
Source: RefSeq, a predicted model, not a curated record
CCCUGUUUUUGUUCAUCUGUUUCACUUCUUAAAUCCACUGUUUUUCUGUGUUGUAAGAAGUCCUGCUUAUCCUUCAGUGUCCUGUUUACAUGACUUCCUUUCCUCCCCUGCUCUCGGCAUCUCUGUGAUAACAACCAUCUCCGCCUGCUGUCUGAAUCAAAGAGCAAGAAAUGCCGGUCGCUUUACCAGCUAUGCUCAGAUUGCCUGAGAAUCCUGACUUUACCAUUUACAGUAUGGCCUUGGAACGUGUCCCCAUGUUCCCUAAAGAGAGAGAAGAGCAGCUUCACUGUAUUAUCCGUGGGCUCUUGCCUACAGACCGAUCAGGAUCUCAGCAUUCCACCAAGACAACCUCCAAAAAAGGAAAAGCAAAUGAGCAGGGCUGUUUCUGAGGAUAUGAAAUACUUUACAAUUAAAUAAGGUUGAGGAAACGGAGUCACAGAGAAAUUAUAAGCCCAGACCUCACAGCUAGUCCAUCUGGCCCAAAGGACUCCAGAACAUGGCCUUCAGCCAGAACAGAGAAGAGAAAUGAAUGGCAAGAGAGCCUAAAAAUAUUCUGAGAAGCUGAGAUAAAUUAGUACAUAUUUAUGUUAACUAACAAAACUUAUUCAUUAAAUCCCUUCCCACCUUCCCCCUCCCACCACCCCCACAUGUGAUUUAUAUGAUUUGUGUAUGUUCUGAAGAACAGUUAUUUUGGUAAGGGUUACAAGGACAUUUUGGCAUCAAUUCAGAAAUGCCAUGGUUUACUAAAGAUUAACGAAUAGAGAGCUGGAAGACCUAGGUCUUAGUCUUAGUCCUGCUACUAAUUAACUGUAUAAUUUGGUCAAACCAAUUGCUUUCCUUUUCUGAAUUCAGCUUCCCCACCUGUGAAGUGCAUUGGGGUGAGGGGCUACUGAGGUUUCCUGGAAGGUUAGUUAAGGAGGAAGAUGUUAGUCAAGACAGAGCCCAGGACCCAAGACCACAGACAGUGGUCCCAUGUCCAUGCCUCUUAGAUAAUCAUAAAUUUUCUUUCUCACAUUAGUUAUAGUCUAUAGUUGAGAUGAUUCAGUAUACAUAUUUAAGAAGACCCAAGAAUCUAUUGGCUCAUCACUUGAAUAUGCUCUUAUAGAUAUGGUAGACUUAUUCCACAUUACUUUUGCGUGAGACUAACUAAUUUGAACCAAUCUAAACUUGUACUGUCCAAUAUGAGAGCCAGUAGCCACAUGUGGCUACAAGCACUUGAAAUGUGCUUAGUCUAAGUGAAGAUGGGUUGAAAAUGUAAAUACACAUCAGAGUUUAAAGCUUUAAUAGGGAAAAAGAAUGUAAACUAUCUCAACAAUUUUUAUAGUGAUUACAGAUUGACUUUCCCAUUCUGAAGAAACAACAAUAUACAUUCAAUGAAUCAAUAAACAGAAGUAAUUGAGGGGCAGUACAUACAGGCAUUCAUGCGCACACAGUUCAGAGGGUUGAAAAAAAAAAAGCCUUUAUGGUCUUCAGUGGAUGAACAUUAGUAAAUAUAAAAAUGCCUUCAAAUUAAAUUUAAAUGUGCAUCUUACUGACCUAGUGUCUUAGUCUGCCCAUGAUCCCAUAACAAAGCACCACAGACUGGGUGGCUUAAACAACAGAAAUUCAUUUCUUACCGUUGAGGAGGCUGGAGGUCUGAGAUCAAGAUACUGACCAAUUCCAUUCCUGGAAAGGGUGUGCUUCCUGGUUUGCAGUCGGCCAUGUUCUUGCUACAUCUUCCCAUGAUGUUUCCUCUGUACACACACACACACAUACACACGUGGAGAUCCUCCUCUUUUAUAAGAACAGCAGUCCCAUUGGGUUAGGGCCCUGCCUUUAUAUCCUCAUUGACCCUUAAUUACCUUCCAAAGACCCCAUCUCUAAAUACGAUCACAUUGUGGGUUAGGGCUUCAACAUGAAUCUGUGGUGGAGGGGGGAGCAAUUCAGUCCAUAACACUCAGUGUGGCUAUCCUUUGUUAAAAAGCGUAGGGUAAUUUACUUUGUAACUGCCUACAUUCUAUGUUGCCUAGAAAUGAAAUUUUAAUGUUCCAGUGUAACCAUAACUUGGCAGUUUCAAUCUUGAGUAUUUUUUCAUCUCCUCUUCUUCCCAAUACAACAACAAUAAUAAUAAAAUAAUAAUAAUAACAUUUAGGAGGAAAAAUAUUACCCUAAGAGACAGCCAUGUUUACUGUGUAGUGAUUUCCCAACAGAAAUUAAUUCCAAGCAAAUUUACAUUCUACAUUUAAAGAAGGUAUAAAUAAUUCAUAUUUUCAUAUCAUCAGCACUGUGCAUUUCCUACACCAGGGUACCUGUAAUUUUUUCAGCUUAUCUGUUCUAAAUUUUGGUUCCAUAACUCAUUAUCACAUUGUUUGUGCUUCUGUUCCAAAGUGGUAAUUUAAUAGUCUUCCAUAGAAUUAUGUUCAAUUAAAACGUUUUUGGUUUUAACAUUCAAAACCUUUUCAGUUUUUAAUUUAAUUGUUGUAACUUUGUUUGUAUGUAUCAUUGACAUACCUUAUUUUUUCACUGCACUCACACAAAUACCAAACCUUCGGAGUAAAUAAAAUCUUCGACAGCUAGGAGUGUGCCCGGCUUCUUCUCCCUCUGCACCACGUGACUCAUUCGCGCCAGCCUCUUCGA